Paramormyrops kingsleyae is the source of this 1801-nucleotide RNA transcript. It is a transcript of the gene named phospholamban 1, with no coding region annotated. The record is from RefSeq and is a predicted model, not a curated record. Lineage: Eukaryota; Metazoa; Chordata; Actinopteri; Osteoglossiformes; Mormyridae.
GCACGUCCCUCCCCACUGGGCUGCUGCGCACUAACCACUUUCCUCCCGGUCCCUCUCCCCGCCCCCAGCACCCAGCUCUGCCUCCCUUAAACUGAGGGACGAGCUCACAGAAGCUUCCAGAGACCCUGCUCAGCCUGCUGGACAGAAGCCGCCCCCAUCCCUCCUCCACAUUCACAGCGUUAACUGGGAACCUGCGCAGCAGAGCAUCGGCACGCCGCACCACCGUGCCAGCUGAAAAGAGGAAGAAGCAGGAUGGUGUGACCUCCGCUGCUCACUCCCCAUUUCACCAGGCUGAAGCACCCCUCUGACAGCUGGACCCUCGACCGGAUCCCUGACAGCCCCACAAAGCUUCCUGUCCAAGUCUGGUACAUGCUGCUCAGCAGGCCCACAUCCAUGGAUCUGGUCAACAACCGCGGCCUCAACCUGAUCCUCAAUUUCCUGCUUAUUGUGGUGGUGCUGAUUCUCAUGCUCAUCCUGGUGAAGCUCAUGUAACCAUGACUCCGCACUCCUGCCAAGCUGCCGCCAUGGUGGAAUUCACUGGGAGAGGGACCUGAAAAUCAGAGUGUGAUGCUGGACCUCUUCCACCAGGAGGAGCUAGAGACAAUUGCUGCCAUGGCCUGUUCAUUAUCUCCACUGUCUCUCUCAGAUUCAGCAAAAGGUCCCUUUUUUGGAUCUUUUUUUUCUAAAUAGCACCACCAAAUGAUAACACUAAAGUAAUCAUGCUCACUAUCGGUAGUAUUUAAAAAUGUAAGCCAUACAAGCUAAUGAUUUUAUUAAAAAGUAUAAAUUCCAGACUCCCAGGUGACAUGAAAUCCUUGGAUUUGUCUCCCUCUAGUGGCAGUAAAUCACAUCACAUUUGUUUCUUUAAAAAAAAUUAAAAAUCAGUUGUCAACAUAGGGGUAAAACCUAAUAUGACUGGAUAGUAUCACACCAAGCUGUUUUUUGAAAUAUUUUUAAAAAGAUAAGCCACCAAAUAUUCAGGACUAAUCAACAGGACAUGCAGAACGGGUGACGACUAAGAUGUUUCCGUAUAUAAAAGUCAAAACACAAAGUUGCUUUUUUUUAUUUUAUUUUUUUUUAAAAAGGUUUAAAUACUGACUUCUGUUUUACUUUUAAAGUUAAAAGCCAUGUGACAAUAUUUACCAAACGAUAAACUUUCUGCAUGUUUUAGCAACAUCCCUUUAAUUUCUUACAAGCCUUGCGUAAUUAAAGGGUGAUUUGUUUCAGUUACGUAACGUUCUCAUACCAGUGGUCUAUGUGCACAUGCUGUGAGAUGUUGCUGAUUCAGAGGUAGUUUGUAUACCAUUCUGUGAAAAAGCUUAUGAGAAAAAAUCCAACUCAGACCAUCUUAAAUGUGUGACUAGACCCUGUAUCCUCCACCAUGAACAGCUGUAUAUCUGCCACUGUAGCCGAAGAGGGAGAAGCAGGAUGGUGUGACCUCCGCUGCUCACUCCCCAUUUCACCAGGCUGAAGCACCCCUCUGACAGCUGGACCAUCGCCUGCCGGAUUUGUCUCCCCACAAAGCUUCUUGUCUGAGUCUGGUACACGCUGCUCAGCAGGCCCACAUCCAUGGGUCUGGUAGUGGUAGUACAGGUACAAGGAAGAUGUCCCAACAAAACCCAUCGAUAAAUCAGGAGUGCCUCUUACACAGCGGUAAAUGUGUGCCCAGCCACUGACUCCCCCAGCUGCUUUUAACACACUUAAUACAUAAAAGGCACAAGCUAUUUCUUGUUUCCUCGCACUCCAUCAUUGAUCUGUUACAUCUUGUGAAACAUUUGAAGUAAUAAAAUGCUAGUCCCUA